RNAcentral lists this ribosomal RNA (609 nucleotides) under Fellozyma sp. RNAcentral's name for it is "partial large subunit ribosomal RNA". It matches the Rfam family "Eukaryotic large subunit ribosomal RNA", at positions 50 to 656 of the family's 3401-position model. Lineage: Eukaryota; Fungi; Basidiomycota; Microbotryomycetes; Chrysozymaceae. The record is from RNAcentral.
GCGGAGGAAAAGAAACUAACAAGGAUUCCCCUAGUAACGGCGAGUGAAGCGGGAAGAGCUCAAAUUUGUAAUCUGGCACCUUCGGUGUCCGAGUUGUAAUCUCGAGAAGUGUUUUCCGCGCCGGACCGCAUAUAAGUCUGUUGGAAUACAGCGUCAUAGUGGUGAGAACCCCGUAACUGAUGCGGAUGCCCGGUGCUUUGUGAUACACUUUCGAAGAGUCGAGUUGUUUGGGAAUGCAGCUCAAAUUGGGUGGUAAAUUCCAUCUAAAGCUAAAUAUUGGCGAGAGACCGAUAGCGAACAAGUACCGUGAGGGAAAGAUGAAAAGCACUUUGGAAAGAGAGUUAACAGUACGUGAAAUUGUUGGAAGGGAAACGCUUGAAGUCAGACUUGCUAUUUGGAGUUCAGCCGCAAGGUGUAUUCUUCGAUUUGCAGGCCAGCAUCAGUUUUCUGGGGUGGAAAAGGGUAUUGAGAAGGUAGCAGUUUCGGCUGUGUUAUAGCUCUUUGCUGGAUUCAUCCUGGGGGACUGAGGAACGCAGCGCGCUUUUUGCAAGGCCUUCGGGCUUUUCGUGCUUAGGAUGCUGGUGGAAUGGCUUUAAACGACCCGUCUUG